GGGCGCUUGGUCUAGGGGUAUGAUUGUAAGCUCAUCACAAAAUCUCCCACAAAUUCCUCAACUAACCACCUAUAGUUCGCUUCGCAUCUUCUCGAUACGUAUAUGUGAAAGGUCGUGGGUUCAAUUCCCACAGCGUCCA
Non-coding RNA from Lophium mytilinum, 139 nucleotides. The record is from the annotation of a GenBank genome assembly. NCBI's taxonomy places the organism in Eukaryota, Fungi, Ascomycota, Dothideomycetes, Mytilinidiales, Mytilinidiaceae.